ACCUACGGGCGGCUGCAGUCGAGAAUUUUUGACAAUGGGGGAAACCCUGAUCGAGCGACGCCGCGUGGAGGAUGAAGGUCUUCGGGUUGUAAACUCCUGUCAUUUGGGAACAAGGUGCAUAUUAACUGUGUACAUUGAUAGUACCAGAAGAGGAAGAGACGGCUAACUCUGUGCCAGCAGCCGCGGUAAUACAGAGGUCUCAAGCGUUGUUCGGAUUCAUUGGGCGUAAAGGGUGUGUAGGGGGCGCGCUAAGUCUGAUGUGAAAUUUCGGAGCUUAACUCCGAAACUGCAUUCGAUACUGGCGUGCUCGAGGACUGGAGAGGAGACUGGAAUUUACGGUGUAGCAGUGAAAUGCGUAGAUAUCGUAAGGAAGACCAGUGGCGAAGGCGGGUCUCUGGACAGUUCCUGACACUGAGGCACGAAGGUCAGGGGAGCAAACGGGAUUAGAUACCCUAGUAGUCC
This 462-nucleotide ribosomal RNA is filed under the name Escherichia coli. RNAcentral's name for it is "bacterial SSU rRNA". It matches the Rfam family "Bacterial small subunit ribosomal RNA", at positions 337 to 796 of the family's 1533-position model. The record is from RNAcentral. Lineage: Bacteria; Pseudomonadati; Pseudomonadota; Gammaproteobacteria; Enterobacterales; Enterobacteriaceae.